ACUCCUACGGGAGGCAGCAGUAGGGAAUUUUUCGCAAUGGACGAAAGUCUGACGGAGCAAUGCCGCGUGAACGAUGAAGGUCUUCGGAUCGUAAAGUUCUGUUGUAAGGGAAGAACACCAAGGAUAGGAAAUGAUCUUGGCUGACGGUACCUGCCA
Molecule: ribosomal RNA, 156 nt
Filed under: uncultured bacterium
Lineage: Bacteria
Description: partial 16S ribosomal RNA
Rfam family: Bacterial small subunit ribosomal RNA
Source: RNAcentral